This 440-nucleotide ribosomal RNA is filed under the name uncultured bacterium. RNAcentral describes it as "partial 16S ribosomal RNA". It matches the Rfam family "Bacterial small subunit ribosomal RNA", at positions 338 to 795 of the family's 1533-position model. The record is from RNAcentral.
CCUACGGGUGGCAGCAGUGGGGGAUAUUGCACAAUGGGCGAAAGCCUGAUGCAGCGACGCAGCGUGAGGGAAGACGGUCUUCGGAUUGUAAACCUCUGUCUUUGGGGAAGAAUAGAGACGGUACCCAAAGAGGAAGCUCCGGCUAACUACGUGCCAGUAGCCGCGGUCAUACGUAGGGAGCGAGCGUUGUCCGGAAUUACUGGGUGUAAAGGGAGCGUAGGCGGGCUUGUAGGUUGAAUGUGAAAUCCACGGGCUCAACGGGAGAUCGCAUUCAAAACUGCAGGUCUUGAGUGAAGUAGAGGCAGGCGGAAUUCGUAGUGUAGCGGUGAAAUGCGUAGAUAUUAGGAAGAACACCGGUGGCGAAGGCGGCCUACUAAGCUGUAACUGACGUUGAGGCUCGAAAGCGUGGGGAGCAAACAGGAUUAGAUACCCGUGUAGUC